AGUGAACGCUGGCGGUAGGCCUAACACAUGCAAGUCGAACGGCAGCACAGUAAGAGCUUGCUCUUACGGGUGGCGAGUGGCGGACGGGUGAGGAAUACAUCGGAAUCUACUUUUUCGUGGGGGAUAACGUGGGGAAACUUACGCUAAUACCGCAUACGACCUACGGGUGAAAGCAGGGGAUCUUCGGACCUUGCGCGAUUGAAUGAGCCGAUGUCGGAUUAGCUAGUUGGCGGGGUAAAGGCCCACCAAGGCGACGAUCCGUAGCUGGUCUGAGAGGAUGAUCAGCCACACUGGAACUGAGACACGGUCCAGACUCCUACGGGAGGCAGCAGUGGGGAAUAUUGGACAAUGGGCGCAAGCCUGAUCCAGCCAUACCGCGUGGGUGAAGAAGGCCUUCGGGUUGUAAAGCCCUGUUGUUGGGAAAGAAAAGCAGCAGGUUAAUACCCCGCUGUUCUGACGGUACCCAAAGAAUAAGCACCGGCUAACUUCGUG
Molecule: ribosomal RNA, 492 nt
Filed under: uncultured bacterium
Lineage: Bacteria
Description: partial 16S ribosomal RNA
Rfam family: Bacterial small subunit ribosomal RNA
Source: RNAcentral